Molecule: long non-coding RNA, 2766 nt
Organism: Lates calcarifer (barramundi perch)
Lineage: Eukaryota; Metazoa; Chordata; Actinopteri; Centropomidae
Exons: 3
Source: RefSeq, a predicted model, not a curated record
UUUUCUUUUGUCCUUAAGACUUGUUCAAUGAUUUUAGUGUUAUAUUGGUUUUCUUUAAAGCUAAAGGUUUGGAUUAGAGUUGUUUAUUAUCAUUUUGUUGUUGUUAUUUUUAUGUUGUUGUUCUUCUCCUUUGUUGUUAUUAUAAUAAUUAUUAUUAUUAUUGUUAGUAUUAUUAAAAGGGAGGAAAGGGGCUUUUUGUAUUAUUUGAGUCUUCCUAUUGUUGCUAAGAAAUAAAGAUUUUAGUUGAUAUUAUUUUCCCUCUAGUUCAGUUUCAGUGGUCAAGUUGAAAGUUAAUUUGAUUUAGUUUUACAUCAGUUUUGAGGUUUCUUCUGGGACUGUUUAAGGUAUCACAAUUUCAGGAUUUAUAGACAACCCCUAGGUCCCGUUGCAUCCACGGCCUGGUCACCUAAGCUGGACCAGGGGAUGGUAAUUUUGGGGAUUAUGUAAAGAUUUGAAAGAGUCCAACUGGAUUGUGGGUCUGUUCAAAUUGGACGUGUGUGGUGCACCAUGGGCUGUGCAAUGGUGAGGCUAACCCUCAUAGAAGACUGGGCUACGAUUAAGGUCCUGAUGCCCUGGACCACCGCACCCUGCGUGCUGUUCCUAGAAGCGGAACCCAGGGGGGUCGCAUACGUACCUGACCUGACCAGCACAGACCAGUUGUUAACACCGCUAGGUUUCCCCUAGCCUGGCCGAUCAGGGCUGAAGUUGGGUCUCACAUUUCUCCCUCCUAUAGGGUUAAGGUGAGUACAGGUGGGGUCCCCCGUCCCACCGGGAAACUAAACACUAAAACUAAAAUUAAAAAAUAAAUAAAAUUAAGCUAAACCCCAGGAAAUCCCCCUCAGGAAUGACCAGGACCAGCCCCGACAAGGCGUUGCCUUCCCGGACACCCCGAGGGCAGGAAGGUCCAGGGCCAGCCCCGACAGAGCGUUGCCUCCCUGGACCCCCAAGACCUCCAUACUAUCGCUAUGACUAACAGAACAAGAGUCCCCGAGAGUCCCCUCCAGAAGCGACCAGGACCAGCCCCGACAGAGCGUUGCCUUCCCAGUCACCUCAGAGGUGAUCGGGUUCCCAAAAGAAAGGGGAAUUUUUUGGAGGAGAAAUACAGUGAUCGGGUUCCCAAAAGAAAGGGGAAUUUUUUUGGAGGAGGAAUACAGUAAGUAAGGGUGAUUGAACUGAUAAACGGAUCCAGAUGAAUUAAGUUGUCUAAGGAGAGAGAGGGACAGAGAGAGAGAGAGAGAGAGAGAGAAAGAAAAAGAAAGAGGACGGGAGUAGGAACAGGUACAAGCUGUGGGAUCGUCACAGCGCUAAGGCUGAUCUUACGCUUCACCACAGCCCCGCCGGACUAGGCUUAACCUGUUUCUCCCUGCCCCCCCAGAAAAGGGAAUCAAAGAUCCCCCCAGGGGAAGGAAGGGAGAGGAAAGCAAAGGUAGAUGUUAGAACAGAGUAGAUGUUAGAAUAAGGGGCACUUGUGUCUCUAGGGAACCCGGACUGUCCGAUGGCACAGGCGGGUUAGGGUUAGUAGAAUAUCUCUUUGAUCCUCCCCGUUUGGUCCGCCGACUCAACGGUUUGGUGUAGAGGGUCAAAGGAAAUGCACGGGCCGACGCAUAUCGCUACUAGGCUCCCCGUACAAUGUGCCCCAUCUACAACAGUAGUUCUAUUUUUAGUCCCGUAGGUUAGGGUUAGGUUUUGGAGUAUAUUUUGUUCCUCUUUCUAGGGUGUAGGGUUCUGGAUCCGGAUUAAUACAGAGUAUGAUUAACCUUCUGAUGUUUUUAGAUUGUAUUUUAAAGGUUAAGAUUGAGGUCUCAUUAGGUUAAAUUAAGGGGUUUGUCAAAUGGUAUGAGGUCCCAGUUAGGGUUAGGGGUAGGAUAGAUAAGGUUAAGGUUGAGGUCUGAUAAGGGUAAAUUAAGGGGUUUGUUAAUGGUAUGAGGUCCCAAUUAGGGUUAGGGGUAGGAUAUAAAAGGACUAAGGUUAGGGUUAGGGUUUCGGGUUAGGGUUAGGGCAAGAGAUGGGAGAGGUUAGGAUUAGGGUUAGGGAAGAGAAAGGGUUAGGGUUAGGGCCUGAGGAGGGGGAGGUUAGGGUUAGGAUAAGGAAAUGGGAGAGGUUAGGGUCAGGGUUGAACAAGAAGGAAUGAAAGAUUAAGGUUAGGCAAGGGAAGAGAGUUAGGGUUGGAGUCAGAGAGGGUUAGGGUUAGGGAAAAGAAGAGGGUUAGGGUUAGGGCAAGCUGUGAGAGAGGUUAGGGUUAAGAUAAGGAGAUGGGAGAGGAGGGUUAGGGUUAGGCAGGAAAGUUAGGGUUAGAGUCAGAGAGGGUUAGGGUUAGGGCAUAGGAUGGGAGAGGUUAAGGUUAGGGUUAGAAAGGGUAGGAGAGGUUAGGGUUAGGAAAAGGAGAUGGGAGAGGAAGGUUAGGGUUAGGAAGGAGAGUUAGGGUUAGAGUCAGAGAGGGUUAGGGUUAGGGCAUAGGAUGGGAGAGGUUAAGGUUAGGUUAGGAAGGUUAGGGUUAAGGUUAGGGUUAGAGAGGGUUAGGGUUAGGGUUAGGGUUAGAGAGGGUUAGGGUUAGGGUUAGGGGUUAGGGUUAGGGUUAGGGUUAGAGAGGGUUAGGGUUAGGGGUUAGGGUUAGGGUUAGGGUUAGAGAGGGUUAGGGUUAGGGUUAGGGGUUAGGGUUAGGGUUAGGGUUGGACAAGGAAGGAAAGAGAGUUAAGGUUAGGUAAGAAAGGAGAAGAGAGUUAGGGAUAAGCAAAAGAAAAAGGAAACAAAGGAGAGAGAAAAAAA